Molecule: small nucleolar RNA, 102 nt
Organism: Cynara cardunculus var. scolymus (artichoke)
Lineage: Eukaryota; Viridiplantae; Streptophyta; Magnoliopsida; Asterales; Asteraceae
Source: RefSeq, a predicted model, not a curated record
AUGCCAUGGUGAGGGCAUAUCCUUAAGUUUGAACCUUUCCCAAGCUUCAGGAACAACUUCAUCGUCCAUUUGUUUAAGAAGGCAAAUUUCGUUCCUGGACUU